CCUACGGGUGGCAGCAGUGAGGAAUAUUGGUCAAUGGGCGCGAGCCUGAACCAGCCAAGUAGCGUGAAGGAUGACUGCCCUACGGGUUGUAAACUUCUUUUAUAAAGGAAUAAAGUGAGGCACGUGAGCCUUUUUGGAUGUACUUUAUGAUUUAGGAUCGGCUAACUCCGGUCCAGCAGCCGCGGUAAUACGGAGGAACCGAGGGUUAUCCGGAUAUCGUGGGUGUAAAGGUAGAGUAGAUGGGUUGUUAAGUCAGUGGUGAAAGUUUGCGGCUCAACCGUAAAAUUGCAAUUGAUACUGGCAGCCUUGAGUACAGUUGAGGUAGGCGGAAUUCGUGGUGUAGCGGUGAAAUGCUUAGAUAUCACGAAGAACUCCGAUUGCGAAGGCAGCUUACUAAACUGCCACUGACAUUGAUGCUCGAAAGUGUGGGUAUCAAACAGGAUUAGAUACCCCUGUAGUC
Molecule: ribosomal RNA, 460 nt
Filed under: uncultured bacterium
Lineage: Bacteria
Description: partial 16S ribosomal RNA
Rfam family: Bacterial small subunit ribosomal RNA
Source: RNAcentral